CAGUGGGGGCAGGCCAGCAGGA
This 22-nucleotide microRNA is filed under the name Mus musculus (house mouse). RNAcentral's name for it is "mmu-miR-7085-5p". The record is from miRBase by way of RNAcentral. Lineage: Eukaryota; Metazoa; Chordata; Mammalia; Rodentia; Muridae.